AGCAGCCGCGGUAAUUCCAGCUCCAAUAGCGUAUAUUAAAGUUGCUGCAGUUAAAAAGCUCGUAGUUGAAUUUCGGGACCAUCAUGUCGGUCGUGCCUCGGUACGUACUGGCAUUGUUGGUUUCUCCCUUCUGACGAACCAUGAUGUCAUUAAUUUGGUGUCAUGGGGAAUCAGGACUGUUACUUUGAAAAAUUAGAGUGUUUAAAGCAGGCUCACGCUUGAAUACAUUAGCAUGGAAUAAUGAAAUAGGACGUUUGAUUCCAUUUUGUUGGUUUCUAGGAUCGACGUAAUGAUUAAUAGGGAUAGUUGGGGGCAUUAGUAUUCAAUUGUCAGAGGUGAAAUUCUUGGAUUUAUUGAAGACUAACUACUGCGAAAGCAUUUGCCAAGGAUGUUUUCAUUAAUCAAGAACGAAAGUUAGGGGAUCGAAGACGAUCAGAUACCGUCGUAGUC
Molecule: ribosomal RNA, 450 nt
Filed under: uncultured Glomeromycotina
Lineage: Eukaryota; Fungi; Glomeromycota
Description: SSU rRNA
Rfam family: Eukaryotic small subunit ribosomal RNA
Source: RNAcentral